CAGCAAAGAGGAGCCUCUCAGAGUAGGUCC
This 30-nucleotide non-coding RNA is filed under the name Rattus norvegicus (Norway rat). Lineage: Eukaryota; Metazoa; Chordata; Mammalia; Rodentia; Muridae. The record is from RNAcentral.